GAUGAACGCUGGCGGCGUGCCUAAUACAUGCAAGUCGAGCGAACAGACGAGGAGCUUGCUCCUCUGACGUUAGCGGCGGACGGGUGAGUAACACGUGGAUAACCUACCUAUAAGACUGGGAUAACUUCGGGAAACCGGAGCUAAUACCGGAUAAUAUAUUGCACCGCAUGGUUCAAUAGUGAAAGACGGUUUUGCUGUCACUUAUAGAUGGAUCCGCGCCGCAUUAGCUAGUUGGUAAGGUAACGGCUUACCAAGGCAACGAUGCGUAGCCGACCUGAGAGGGUGAUCGGCCACACUGGAACUGAGACACGGUCCAGACUCCUACGGGAGGCAGCAGUAGGGAAUCUUCCGCAAAGGGCGAAAGCUUGACGGAGCAACGCCGCGUGAGUGAUGAAGGUCUUCGGAUCGUAAAACUCUGUUAUUAGGGAAGAACAAAUGUGUAAGUAACUAUGCACGUCUUGACGGUACCUAAUCAGAAAGCCACGGCUAACUACGUG
RNAcentral lists this ribosomal RNA (497 nucleotides) under uncultured bacterium. Its description in RNAcentral is "partial 16S ribosomal RNA". It matches the Rfam family "Bacterial small subunit ribosomal RNA", at positions 28 to 507 of the family's 1533-position model. The record is from RNAcentral.